GUAUCGGUGGUUCAGCUGUAGAAUGCUCGCCUACCACGCAAGCGACCCGGGUUCGAUUUCUGGCCCAAACA
Henosepilachna vigintioctopunctata is the source of this 71-nucleotide non-coding RNA. Lineage: Eukaryota; Metazoa; Arthropoda; Insecta; Coleoptera; Coccinellidae. The record is from the annotation of a GenBank genome assembly.